UAACUUCUAUUGCAGAAAAGUCAUUAUUAUUAUUCAAAAGGACUUCGCGUCCACUGGAGCAAAACCGUGAACGAAGACCUUGCUGACAACACUGGCCUCCAGACAGCUUUCAAAGCAUAUACCAAAGUACUUGAAGAAGAAUGUGGAGGGCAAGAUACUCGUCUAACAGGUCUAGAAAAAUUCAGCGGAAUGCAGCUGUUCUUCAUUUCGCGUGCUAGGACUUUGUGCAAAACAGCAGACAAGUAUUCACUCAUCGAAGAGAUAAGAAGGGUAAUAUUCAGCUCUGCGCAAAACAGGGUGAACGUGCCCUUGAAGAAUUUGGACGAAUUUGGUAAGGCGUUCAACUGUUCACUUGGCUCCCCAAUGCACCCGUACAAAAAUGAAACCUGUUCUUUAUGGUGAAGGGGAAUCGGACAACAGCAUGAAUAUACCUUGUGUAAAGAGCGCAAAACGGAGACGGGAUACGAGACAAGACGACACCACAAGCACUAAUCAUUAAACCAUUUUG
Molecule: long non-coding RNA, 508 nt
Filed under: Dermacentor andersoni
Lineage: Eukaryota; Metazoa; Arthropoda; Arachnida; Ixodida; Ixodidae
Description: uncharacterized LOC126531188
Source: RNAcentral